Molecule: ribosomal RNA, 954 nt
Filed under: Salmonella enterica subsp. enterica
Lineage: Bacteria; Pseudomonadati; Pseudomonadota; Gammaproteobacteria; Enterobacterales; Enterobacteriaceae
Also listed under: 1 other name
Description: partial 23S ribosomal RNA
Rfam family: Bacterial large subunit ribosomal RNA
Source: RNAcentral
CUGCGUACCUUUUGUAUAAUGGGUCAGCGACUUAUAUUCUGUAGCAAGGUUAACCGUAUAGGGGAGCCGAAGGGAAACCGAGUCUUAACUGGGCGUUAAGUUGCAGGGUAUAGACCCGAAACCCGGUGAUCUAGCCAUGGGCAGGUUGAAGGUUGGGUAACACUAACUGGAGGACCGAACCGACUAAUGUUGAAAAAUUAGCGGAUGACUUGUGGCUGGGGGUGAAAGGCCAAUCAAACCGGGAGAUAGCUGGUUCUCCCCGAAAGCUAUUUAGGUAGCGCCUCGUGAACUCAUCUUCGGGGGUAGAGCACUGUUUCGGCUAGGGGGUCAUCCCGACUUACCAACCCGAUGCAAACUGCGAAUACCGAAGAAUGUUAUCACGGGAGACACACGGCGGGUGCUAACGUCCGUCGUGAAGAGGGAAACAACCCAGACCGCCAGCUAAGGUCCCAAAGUCACAGUUAAGUGGGAAACGAUGUGGGAAGGCUCAGACAGCCAGGAUGUUGGCUUAGAAGCAGCCAUCAUUUAAAGAAAGCGUAAUAGCUCACUGGUCGAGUCGGCCUGCGCGGAAGAUGUAACGGGGCUAAACUGUGCACCGAAGCUGCGGCAGCGACGCUUAUGCGUUGUUGGGUAGGGGAGCGUUCUGUAAGCCUGCGAAGGUGUCCUGUGAGGGAUGCUGGAGGUAUCAGAAGUGCGAAUGCUGACAUAAGUAACGAUAAUGCGGGUGAAAAGCCCGCUCGCCGGAAGACCAAGGGUUCCUGUCCAACGUUAAUCGGGGCAGGGUGAGUCGACCCCUAAGGCGAGGCCGAAAGGCGUAGUCGAUGGGAAACGGGUUAAUAUUCCCGUACUUGGUGUUACUGCGAAGGGGGGACGGAGAAGGCUAUGUUGGCCGGGCGACGGUUGUCCCGGUUUAAGCGUGUAGGCUGGUUUUCCAGGCAAAUCCGGAAAAUCAAG